UCCCUCUGGAGUUAAACAAAAGAAAUGUUGACACCUACAGCUGUGAGGCUUCCAACCCUGCUGACUCAAAACCAACUCCGCUCAACAUUGAAACGCUCUGCCCUCAAUUGUCCUCACGCUCUGCUCUCAAAGGGUCUGGUCGCAAUCCUGUCCCAAUCGCACUGGUUACAUUGUUAGCAUUUGGGAUAAUAAGUGGUGGUAUAUUCUGGGCAGUUAAAAUAAUAAAAUGUGGAGCCUGCAAGCAAAGAGAAGAAGAAGGAUGCUGAUGUGAACUUUCAGAGAUC
Long non-coding RNA from Oncorhynchus masou masou (cherry salmon), 284 nucleotides. RefSeq lists it as uncharacterized. The transcript is spliced from 3 exons. The record is from RefSeq and is a predicted model, not a curated record. NCBI's taxonomy places the organism in Eukaryota, Metazoa, Chordata, Actinopteri, Salmoniformes, Salmonidae.